GUUGAGGCUUUUCCAUUAGU
Molecule: unclassified non-coding RNA, 20 nt
Filed under: Dictyostelium discoideum
Lineage: Eukaryota; Evosea; Eumycetozoa; Dictyosteliales; Dictyosteliaceae
Source: RNAcentral